Molecule: ribosomal RNA, 230 nt
Filed under: Silene rotundifolia
Lineage: Eukaryota; Viridiplantae; Streptophyta; Magnoliopsida; Caryophyllales; Caryophyllaceae
Source: RNAcentral
UCACGCAUCGCGUCUCCCCCAAAUCCACUCUGAGUGGAGGGGAAGGAGGAUGGUCUCCCGUGACUCACCGGUCGCGGCUGGCCUAAAAUUGGAGCCCUCAGCAUCGGGAUGKUGUGGCGAUAGGUGGUGAACAAGGCCUCGGCCAAGCAAGCAACCAGCCGCGCGUGACGAUGCCAACGUGAGCUCGAAGGACCCUUUAAGUUGCUUAACGGCAACCUAACUGUUGCGAC